Molecule: long non-coding RNA, 706 nt
Filed under: Equus caballus (horse)
Lineage: Eukaryota; Metazoa; Chordata; Mammalia; Perissodactyla; Equidae
Description: lncRNA (ENSECAG00000055234.1)
Source: RNAcentral
AUCAGGUGGAGGGGCUAGGGUUGUGGUUGCUGGAGAAUUGUGUCUCAGGAAGAGGGAACAGCAUGUGCAAAGGCCCAGAAGCAAGCUUGACACACAAAGUCAUUUCACUGAAACCCGGCAACACCCCAAGUGGAAAUGUCUUAUUUUGCAGAUGAGUAAACUGAGGCUUGAGGAGGUUAUAUAACCUGCCCAGGGUGCCACAGGUGCGUCCUGAGCCUGUGAGGUUUCCCUGAGGACUCAACCUGAGUCACACAUCCCUCCAAAAGACCAGUCCUGUUUACCUGUGGAAAAUGUUCAGAAAGUCUCAGGGUUAAUGAGGUUUCUGGAGAGGAAACUCAUCACGUAGGAGAGAAAGAGUGAAUGGGAAAGAGGAGAAGCCUGCUUCCAAGGUUACCGCGAAGGCGAUUCCGAGAUUCGAGCAUCAUUUCCCAGCCUGGGUCCUCCUUGGGUGCUGUCCCAUCUGAUCCACGUCUCCUGAAAUGAAUCACAAUGCAAAGUAGGCCAGAUGUGGGCAGGAAGAGGAAGCUGAAUAAAUGAAUGGCUGCUGGAAUUGCUCCUGGAAAAGAAGUGACUCUUAUCGCAUGCCUUCUACAGAGAGCUGCGUGCUGGAACAGGCACAAUCUCACUGAUGCUCUCAUUUCAUCUCCACAACCCCAACAAGAGGUAGGUGUGAGUCUUCUUAUCUUUAUUUUUAUUUUUUGGUGAG